This 253-nucleotide ribosomal RNA is filed under the name uncultured bacterium. RNAcentral's name for it is "partial 16S ribosomal RNA". It matches the Rfam family "Bacterial small subunit ribosomal RNA", at positions 524 to 776 of the family's 1533-position model. The record is from RNAcentral.
UACGUAGGGUGCAAGCGUUGUCCGGAAUUAUUGGGCGUAAAGAGCUCGUAGGCGGUCUGUCGCGUCUGGUGUGAAAAUCCAGGGCUUAACCCUGGACCUGCAUCGGGUACGGGCAGACUAGAGUUCGGUAGGGGAGACUGGAAUUCCUGGUGUAGCGGUGAAAUGCGCAGAUAUCAGGAGGAACACCGGUGGCGAAGGCGGGUCUCUGGGCCGAUACUGACGCUGAGGAGCGAAAGCGUGGGGAGCGAACAGG